UGACGGCCCACCAAGGCUGCGAUGCCUACCGCGCGUGCGAGCGUGGCCCGGCACACUGGGACUGAGACACUGCCCAGACUCCUACGGGAGGCUGCAGUCGAGAAUCUUCGGCAAUGGGCGCAAGCCUGACCGAGCGACGCCGCGUGGAGGACGAAGGCCUUCGGGUUGUAAACUCCUGUCGAGGGGGAGGAAGCCGCAAGGUUGACCGAUCCCUGGAGGAAGCACGGGCUAAGUUCGUGCCAGCAGCCGCGGUAAGACGAACCGUGCGAACGUUAUUCGGAAUCACUGGGCUUAAAGCGGGUGUAGGCGGGUCAUCACGUCGGCUGCUGAAAACAAAACAAAAAAACCGAGGAACGGGCACCGAUACGAGUGACCUGGAGGGAGGUAGGGGGGGCUGGAACUUCCGGUGGAGCGGUGAAAUG
Molecule: ribosomal RNA, 422 nt
Filed under: uncultured soil bacterium
Lineage: Bacteria
Description: bacterial SSU rRNA
Rfam family: Bacterial small subunit ribosomal RNA
Source: RNAcentral